AACGAACGCUGGCGGCAUGCCUAACACAUGCAAGUCGAACGGCAGCACGGGAGCUUGCUCCUGGUGGCGAGUGGCGAACGGGUGAGUAAUAUAUCGGAACGUACCCUAGAGUGGGGGAUAACGCAGCGAAAGUUGCGCUAAUACCGCAUACGAUCUACGGAUGAAAGUGGGGGAUCGCAAGACCUCAUGCUCAUGGAGCGGCCGAUAUCUGAUUAGCUAGUUGGUGGGGUAAAGGCCUACCAAGGCAUCGAUCAGUAGCUGGUCUGAGAGGACGACCAGCCACACUGGAACUGAGACACGGUCCAGACUCCUACGGAGGCAGCAGUGGGGAAUUUUGGACAAUGGGCGAAAGCCUGAUCCAGCAAUGCCGCGUGAGUGAAGAAGGCCUU
This 389-nucleotide ribosomal RNA is filed under the name uncultured bacterium. Its description in RNAcentral is "bacterial SSU rRNA". It matches the Rfam family "Bacterial small subunit ribosomal RNA", at positions 29 to 418 of the family's 1533-position model. The record is from RNAcentral.